UACUCGAAUACGAUCUUUUUCGUCGCAUGACGGAAAAGAAGAAAAGGAUGGCCUCUAUACAAAGCUAUCGCCGAAGGAGGGGUUUUUGCGUCUGAUUAGCUGGUUGGAGGGGUAACGGCCCAACAAGGCGAUGAUCAGUAGCCGGUCUGAGAGGAUGAACGGCCACAUUGGGACUGAGACACGGCCCAGACUCCUACGGGAGGCAGCAGUGGGGAAUCUUCCGCAAUGGACGAAAGUCUGACGGAGCAACGCCGCGUGAGUGAAGAAGGUCUUCGGAUUGUAAAGCUCUGUUAUACGGGACGAAAAAGACGGAUGCCAACAGUAUCCGUCCGUGACGGUACCGUAAGAGAAAGCCACGGCUAACUACGUGCCAGCAGCCGCGGUAAAU
This 388-nucleotide ribosomal RNA is filed under the name uncultured Megasphaera sp. Its description in RNAcentral is "bacterial SSU rRNA". It matches the Rfam family "Bacterial small subunit ribosomal RNA", at positions 164 to 525 of the family's 1533-position model. Lineage: Bacteria; Bacillati; Bacillota; Negativicutes; Veillonellales; Veillonellaceae. The record is from RNAcentral.